This 449-nucleotide ribosomal RNA is filed under the name uncultured bacterium. RNAcentral's name for it is "partial 16S ribosomal RNA". It matches the Rfam family "Bacterial small subunit ribosomal RNA", at positions 29 to 523 of the family's 1533-position model. The record is from RNAcentral.
AACGAACGCUGGCGGCAGGCUUAACACAUGCAAGUCGAACGCAUCCUUCGGGGUGAGUGGCAGACGGGUGAGUAACGCGUGGGAACGUGCCCUUCAGUUCGGGAUAACCCAGGGAAACUUGGGCUAAUACCGGAUACGUGCGAGAGCAGAAAGAUUUAUCGCUGAAGGAUCGGCCCGCGUCUGAUUAGCUAGUUGGUGGGGUAAUGGCCCACCAAGGCGACGAUCAGUAGCUGGUCUGAGAGGAUGAUCAGCCACAUUGGGGCUGAGACACGGCCCAAACUCCUAUGGGAGGCAGCAGUGGGGAAUAUUGGACAAUGGGCGCAAGCCUGAUCCAGCCAUGCCGCGUGAGUGAUGAAGGCCUUAGGGUUGUAAAGCUCUUUCGUCCGGGACGAUAAUGACGGUACCGGAAGAAGAAGCCCCGGCUAACUUCGUGCCAGCCGCCGCAGUAA